AUUCUUCUGUGUUUCAGAAACACAAUAAUUGAGUUUUCACACUCACCUGUGAGAUGUACCUCCCUCAAACUUUGUUAAGACGUCAGCACAUUACCCAUCUGACA
Small nucleolar RNA from Callithrix jacchus (white-tufted-ear marmoset), 104 nucleotides. Lineage: Eukaryota; Metazoa; Chordata; Mammalia; Primates; Cebidae. The record is from Ensembl.